GACGAACGCUGGCGGCGUGCUUAACACAUGCAAGUCGAACGAUGAAGCGGGUGCUUGCACUCGUGGAUUAGUGGCGAACGGGCGAGUAACACGUGAGUAACCUGUCCUUUUCUUUGGGAUAACGGCUGGAAACGGCUGCUAGUACUGGAUAUUCAGGCUGCAUCGCAUGGUGUGGUUUGGAAAGGUUUUUUCUGGGAUUGGGUGGGCUCGCGGCCUAUCAGCUUGUUGGUGGGGUGAUGGCUUACCAAGGCUUUGACGGGUAGCCGGCCUGAGAGGGUGGUCGGUCGCACUGGGACUGAGAUACGGCCCAGACUCCUACGGGAGGCAGCAGUGGGGAAUAUUGCACAAUGGACGAAAGUGUGAUGCAGCGACGCCGCGUGGAGGGUGUAGGCCUUCGGGUUGUGAACUCCUUUUUCUCGCGAAAAAGGCACAGUUUUGGCUGUGUUGAUGGUAGUGGGGGAAGAAGCGCCGGCUAACUACGUG
This 483-nucleotide ribosomal RNA is filed under the name uncultured bacterium. Its description in RNAcentral is "partial 16S ribosomal RNA". It matches the Rfam family "Bacterial small subunit ribosomal RNA", at positions 28 to 507 of the family's 1533-position model. The record is from RNAcentral.